RNAcentral lists this ribosomal RNA (465 nucleotides) under uncultured bacterium. Its description in RNAcentral is "bacterial SSU rRNA". It matches the Rfam family "Bacterial small subunit ribosomal RNA", at positions 28 to 507 of the family's 1533-position model. The record is from RNAcentral.
GACGAACGCUGGCGGCGCGCUUAACACAUGCAAGUCGAACGAGAAGCUCGGUGCUUGCACCGGGUGGACAGUGGCGAACGGGUGAGUAACACGUGAGUAACCUGCCCCGGAGACCGGAAUAACCCGAGGAAACUCGGACUAAUACCGGAUGCCUUCACCGGACCGCAUGAUCUGGUGAAGAAAUGGUCCGCCGCUCCGGGAUGGACUCGCGGCCUAUCAGCUUGUUGGUGAGGUAACGGCUCACCAAGGCGACGACGGGUAGCUGGUCUGAGAGGACGAUCAGCCACACUGGGACUGAGACACGGCCCAGACUCCUACGGGAGGCAGCAGUAGGGAAUCUUGCGCAAUGGGGGAAACCCUGACGCAGCGACGCCGCGUGCGGGAUGAAGGCCCUAGGGUUGUAAACCGCUUUCAGCAGGGACGAAAUUGACGGUACCUGCAGAAGAAGGCCCGGCCAACUACGUG